AAGUGAGUGAAUCAUCUUCAUUGUACACGAUCUUUGUUUGAAGUCCCUGUUCUGACAGCACGGCCCGACCGACACUUGACUCAACUCUCUUCAGACGCUGAGCAGCGUUUUGAUAUGCGGGCCGUAACAAAGUUAAAAUGAGAAUCAUCGGACGACAGCGUUAACUAAUGACACGUCUGAGCGAUAUUAUGGAAACACAAGGCAAAUUACUAUAUUCGAAGCUUUUUCACAAGCACAGACAGGUAGAAGUUGCUUUAAACUGCAGUAUUUUGUCGUGGAAGGAAAUUGAGAGGAGCAGAAAACGAAGCUCUGGCAUCAGCAACAGUGCUGAGACAGAAAGCACAUCGUGGGUUUAUUGGAGCCUUUCCCACUCCAACAGCUGCCUCCUACAUCUGGAGAUGAAGCUGCACACAGCCACGCUGUUCAGGUGUGUGAAAUAG
RNAcentral lists this long non-coding RNA (440 nucleotides) under Cottoperca gobio. Its description in RNAcentral is "lncRNA (ENSCGOG00000021036.1)". Lineage: Eukaryota; Metazoa; Chordata; Actinopteri; Perciformes; Bovichtidae. The record is from RNAcentral.